Molecule: long non-coding RNA, 445 nt
Organism: Galeopterus variegatus (Sunda flying lemur)
Lineage: Eukaryota; Metazoa; Chordata; Mammalia; Dermoptera; Cynocephalidae
Exons: 2
Source: RefSeq, a predicted model, not a curated record
AGAGGCUUCUUUUCUACCCUCCACUGUCUACCGUGCUCCAGCCAUAUGGGAUUUUCCUCUAGGUGGAGGCUUUGGGCCAUGAAGCUCUGUCUCCCGGUGAGCUGGGCAGACAACACAGGAGGAUCAGAAAACCCAGAGAGGUGUCAUCCUCUGGGAAGGAAGAAUGAGAGAAGCUGCCUACUCCAUUUGUCCCAAAGGUUUGUUCUGUUUCUUCCGCACAUUGUUGAUGCCAUCUAGCCCUCCCCUCUAAGGAGGGGGCCAAGAGGACAAUAUGAGAUUUUAUUCACGAUGAGCUUCUGUGGACUAGCUUGUGUCCUAAACAUCAGCAUAAAAACUCUUGAUUAUUGAGACAGUGAGGAACUUAAGACUAUUGAAAUUUUUCUGUAUGUUCAAUCUCAUAUUUGACUUUGAAUAAACUUUCUUUUACCCUGUAACAAGCCUACAA